GAAAAAAACAUUGAAGACCACAUAACAUGUUGAUAAGAUGACACUGGAGUUAUGCACAUGUGAUGCGGAGUGUUUGUGUUUGUUUCUUUAAGUGUCUAAAAUGAAUAGCAAAGUUGUGAUUUGCAAUGAUUGCUUAGGGUCAGUCCAGUAACAAUACGCCAAUGAAGUGCUUUCCUUUAACAAUGCAAAGUGAAGUGUCCACCUCCACAGCCACAAUUUAAAAAAUUAAUGUUAUAAUAAUAAUAAUAAUAAUAAUAAUAAUAAUAAAUAGUCCACUGAUAUUAGCAAUCACAGAAAAUUAUAUCACCAUCCCAAAUAAAACUUUAAUAAAACAUGCCAGCAUUAUUGUCUAACAAUAAAACAGCUUGUCAGCGUUCAGUUUUUUUGCAACAGCACAACAGUAACCAUUUAACACUUGCCACGCUCAACGUUUAUUUUACCAGUGUUUGGGCAAAAAACUUGGGUUGUAAACAUUUUAACAUGGAAACAAUUGUUCGUCUUUAAAAGUCCGCAGAAUAUACAUUCAUCCUGCAUUCCUAACUUAUCCUUAUUCUUAGUAUGUAUUGCAAUUACCUUUACAAUGCACACAAUGUAACACAAACAGAAUAUGGACAUAUUUCCACCUCAUAACAAUAUGCCUUGAACGCUAAUAUACACACCACCCUUCAACAUUUCUGGUGCAGUAUCAUUAAGUGUGCCUAUGCCAAGAGGCACACUUAUUACUAUUCCUCGGAUUUAUUAUUCUUAUUAUGUGUGCCUAUGCCAAGAGGCACACAUAUUACUAUUCGUCGGAUUUAUUAUUAUGUGUGCCUAUGCCAAGAGGCACACAUAUUACUAUUCGUCGGAUUUAUUAUGUGUGCCUAUGCCAAGAGGCACACAUAUUACUAUUCCUCGGAUUUAUUAUUAUUAUGUGUGCCUAUGCCAAGAGGCACACAUAUUACUAUUCCUCGGAUUUAUUAUUAUUAUUCUUCAGUUUCCGCCUGAAAUUUUGCAGCGAAUCUCGCCCCGCAGUUUUCAGACAAGCUUCAUAUAUGUUACCUCAUUUUGUGCGGCUGGAUCUGGAAUGGUGUGCUAUGACUUUUGGUGUUUAUGA
Molecule: long non-coding RNA, 1093 nt
Filed under: Oreochromis niloticus (Nile tilapia)
Lineage: Eukaryota; Metazoa; Chordata; Actinopteri; Cichliformes; Cichlidae
Description: lncRNA (ENSONIG00000039581.1)
Source: RNAcentral